GACGAACGCUGGCGGCGUGCUUAACACAUGCAAGUCGAACGGAAAGGCCCUGCUUUUGUGGGGUGCUCGAGUGGCGAACGGGUGAGUAACACGUGAGUAACCUGCCCUUGACUUUGGGAUAACUUCAGGAAACUGGGGCUAAUACCGGAUAGGAGCUCCUGCUGCAUGGUGGGGGUUGGAAAGUUUCGGCGGUUGGGGAUGGACUCGCGGCUUAUCAGCUUGUUGGUGGGGUAGUGGCUUACCAAGGCUUUGACGGGUAGCCGGCCUGAGAGGGUGACCGGCCACAUUGGGACUGAGAUACGGCCCAGACUCCUACGGGAGGCAGCAGCGGGGAAUAUUGCACAAUGGGCGGAAGCCUGAUGCAGCAACGCCGCGUGCGGGAUGACGGCCUUCGGGUUGUAAACCGCUUUCGCCUGUGACGAAGCGUGAGUGACGGUAAUGGGUAAAGAAGCACCGGCUAACUACGUGCCAGCAGCCGCGGUGAUACGUAGGGUGCGAGCGUUGUCCGGAUUUAUUGGGCGUAAAGGGCUCGUAGGUGGUUGAUCGCGUCGGAAGUGUAAUCUUGGGGCUUAACCCUGAGCGUGCUUUCGAUACGGGUUGACUUGAGGAAGGUAGGGGAGAAUGGAAUUCCUGGUGGAGCGGUGGAAUGCGCAGAUAUCAGGAGGAACACCAGUGGCGAAGGCGGUUCUCUGGGCCUUUCCUGACGCUGAGGAGCGAAAGCGUGGGGAGCGAACAGGCUUAGAUACCCUGGUAGUCCACGCUGUAAACGGUGGGUACUAGGUGUGGGGUCCAUUCCACGGGUUCCGUGCCGUAGCUAACGCUUUAAGUACCCCGCCUGGGGAGUACGGCCGCAAGGCUAAAACUCAAAGGAAUUGACGGGGCCCCGCACAAGCGGCGGAGCAUGCGGAUUAAUUCGAUGCAACGCGUAGAACCUUACCUGGGUUUGACAUGGAUCGGGAGUGCUCAGAGAUGGGUGUGCCUCUUUUGGGGUCGGUUCACAGGUGGUGCAUGGCUGUCGUCAGCUCGUGUCGUGAGAUGUUGGGUUAAGUCCCGCAACGAGCGCAACCCUUGUUCACUGUUGCCAGCACGUUAUGGUGGGGACUCAGUGGAGACCGCCGGGGUCAACUCGGAGGAAGGUGGGGAUGACGUCAAGUCAUCAUGCCCCUUAUGUCCAGGGCUUCACGCAUGCUACAAUGGCUGGUACAGAGAGUGGCGAGCCUGUGAGGGUGAGCGAAUCUCGGAAAGCCGGUCUCAGUUCGGAUUGGGGUCUGCAACUCGACCUCAUGAAGUCGGAGUCGCUAGUAAUCGCAGAUCAGCAACGCUGCGGUGAAAACGUUCCCGGGGCU
This 1346-nucleotide ribosomal RNA is filed under the name uncultured bacterium. RNAcentral's name for it is "partial 16S ribosomal RNA". It matches the Rfam family "Bacterial small subunit ribosomal RNA", at positions 28 to 1381 of the family's 1533-position model. The record is from RNAcentral.